GUCAUGAUUUAUUUUGGUGGGUUUUUAAGUACAUGAGCAUUCAAAUAGGGAUAGUUGGGGGCAUUUGAAUUUUAUUGUCAGAGGUGAAAUUCUUGGAUUUAUAAACGUCAAACAAAGGCGAAAGCAUUUGCCAUGGAUGUUUUCACUGAUCAAGAACGAAAGUUAGGGGAUCGAAGACGAUCAGAUACCGUCCUAGUCCUAACCAUAAACUAUGCCACCUAGGAGUUGAAUGUUGUUACAUUGCUGAUAUGUGCAGUACCUGUGAGAAAUCAAAGUUUUUGGGUUCUGGGGGGAGUAUGGUCGCAAGGCUGAAACUUAAAGGAAUUGACGGAAGGGCACCACCAGGAGUGGAGCCUGCGGCUUAAUUUGAUUCAACACGGGAAAACUUACCAGGACCAGACAUAACCAGGAUUGACAGAUUGAUAGCUCUUUCUUGAUUUUAUGGGUGGUGGUGCAUGGCCGUUCUUAGUUGGUGGAAUGAUUUGUCUGGUUAAUUCCGUUAACGAACGAGACCUUACUUUGCUAAAUAAUUACAUGUACCUGUUGUUAUGUGGGCAAUUCCUUAGAAAGACUUUGUGUGUACAAUGCAAGGAAGUUUGAGGCAAUAACAGGUCUGUGAUGCCCUUAGAUGCUCUGGGCUGCACGCGCGCUACACUGAUGUGAGCAACAAGUAUAUUUCCUUGCCUGAAAUGGUGUGGCAACCUGGAAACUGCAUCGUGAUGGGGCCUGUUCAUUGUCAUUAUUGAUCUUAAACGAGGAAUUCCUAGUAAGCACAAAUCAUCAGUUUGUGCUGAUUAUGUCCCUGCCCUUUGUACACACCGCCCGUCGCUCCUACCGAUUGAGUGUUCCGGUGAAUAAUUUUGAUUGCUGUUUCUUUAGCAAUGAUGUAACAUGUGAAACAUUUAAUGA
This 909-nucleotide ribosomal RNA is filed under the name Ostreopsis cf. ovata. Its description in RNAcentral is "SSU rRNA". It matches the Rfam family "Eukaryotic small subunit ribosomal RNA", at positions 828 to 1762 of the family's 1831-position model. The record is from RNAcentral. Lineage: Eukaryota; Dinophyceae; Peridiniales; Ostreopsidaceae.